AGAAAGGGCGCACGGUGGAUGCCUUGGCACUAGGAGCCGAAGAAGGACGGGACUAACACCGAUAUGCUUUGGGGAGCUGUACGUAAGCGUUGAUCCAGAGAUUUCCGAAUGGGGGAACCCACUAUCUUUAGUCGGAUAGUAUCCUUACGUGAAUACAUAGCGUAAGGAAGGCAGACCCAGGGAACUGAAACAUCUAAGUACCUGGAGGAAGAGAAAGAAAAAUCGAUUUCCUGAGUAGCGGCGAGCGAAACGGAAAGAGCCCAAACCAAGAAGCUUGCUUCUUGGGGUUGUAGGACACUCUAUACGGAGUUACAAAAGAAAGUUAUAAAUGAAGCGGUCUGGAAAGGCCCGCCAAAGACGGUAACAGCCCGGUAGUUGAAAUGGCUUUCCCUCCAGAGUGGAUCCUGAGUACGGCGGAACACGUGAAAUUCCGUCGGAAUCCGGGAGGACCAUCUCCCAAGGCUAAAUACUCCCUAGUGACCGAUAGUGAACCAGUACCGUGAGGGAAAGGUGAAAAGCACCCCGGAAGGGGAGUGAAACAGUUCCUGAAACCGUGUGCCUACAAGUAGUUAGAGCCCGUUAAUGGGUGAUAGCGUGCCUUUUGUAGAAUGAACCGGCGAGUUACGAUUUGUUGCAAGGUUAAGCGGAAAAAGCGGAGCCGUAGCGAAAGCGAGUCUGAAUAGGGCGCAUAAGUAACAGGUCGUAGACCCGAAACCAGGUGAUCUACCCAUGUCCAGGAUGAAGGUAAGGUAAUACUUACUGGAGGUCCGAACCCACGCACGUUGAAAAGUGCGGGGAUGAGGUGUGGGUAGCGGAGAAAUUCCAAUCGAACUUGGAGAUAGCUGGUUCUCUCCGAAAUAGCUUUAGGGCUAGCCUCGAGGUAAAGAGUCAUGGAGGUAGAGCACUGUUUGGACUAGGGGCCCUUCUCGGGUUACCGAAUUCAGAUAAACUCCGAAUGCCAUGUACUUAUACUCGGGAGUCAGACUGCGAGUGAUAAGAUCCGUAGUCGAAAGGGAAACAGCCCAGACCACCAGUUAAGGUCCCCAAAUAUAUGUUAAGUGGAAAAGGAUGUGGGGUUGCUUAGACAACCAGGAUGUUGGCUUAGAAGCAGCCACCAUUGAAAGAGUGCGUAAUAGCUCACUGGUCGAGUGACCCCGCGCCGAAAAUGUACCGGGGCUAAACAUAUUACCGAAACUGUGGAUGAACCUCUUCGGAGGUUCGUGGUAGGAGAGCGUUCUAAGGGCGGUGAAGUCAGACCGGAAGGACUGGUGGAGCGCUUAGAAGUGAGAAUGCCGGUAUGAGUAGCGAAAGAAGGGUGAGAAUCCCUUCCACCGAAUAUCUAAGGUUUCCUGAGGAAGGCUCGUCCGCUCAGGGUUAGUCGGGACCUAAGCCGAGGCCGAUAGGCGUAGGCGAUGGACAACAGGUAGAGAUUCCUGUACCAGUGCUAAUUGUUUAACCGAUGGGGUGACACAGAAGGAUAGGGAAUCGCACGAAUGGAAAUGUGCGUCCAAGCAGUGAGUGUGAGAAGUAGGCAAAUCCGCUUCUCGCGAAGCAUGAGCUGUGAUGGGGAAGGAAAUUAAGUACGGAAGUUCCUGAUUUCACGCUGUCAAGAAAAGCCUCUAGGAAGAGUAGUACUGCCCGUACCGCAAACCGACACAGGUAGAUGAGGAGAGAAUCCUAAGGUGAGCGAGAGAACUCU
This 1699-nucleotide ribosomal RNA is filed under the name Listeria monocytogenes. RNAcentral describes it as "partial 23S ribosomal RNA". It matches the Rfam family "Bacterial large subunit ribosomal RNA", at positions 1 to 1702 of the family's 2925-position model. Lineage: Bacteria; Bacillati; Bacillota; Bacilli; Caryophanales; Listeriaceae. The record is from RNAcentral.